This 258-nucleotide ribosomal RNA is filed under the name uncultured bacterium. RNAcentral describes it as "partial small subunit ribosomal RNA". It matches the Rfam family "Bacterial small subunit ribosomal RNA", at positions 26 to 285 of the family's 1533-position model. The record is from RNAcentral.
AGGACGAACGCUGGCGGCGUGCUUAACACAUGCAAGUCGAGCGAGGCUCUUCCCUCGGGAAGAUGUCCUAGCGGCGAACGGGUGAGUAACACGUGGGCAACCUGCCCCUAGCACUGGGAUAACCCCGGGAAACCGGGCUAAUACCGGAUAUCACUUCGGAAGGCAUCUUCUGAAGUUGAAAGGGUUACUGGCUAGGGAUGGGCCCGCGGCCUAUCAGCUUGUUGGUGGGGUAAUGGCCUACCAAGGCGACGACGGGUA